GGGAGCUGGGACCAGAAAGGAACAGAAGUUGAACAUGAGUGCACUUAACCUUUGUAUGUGUAGGUGUGUGUGUAUACACACAUGCAUACAUGUACACGUGUUAUGUACACAAGCAUGUAUAAUAUGCACACAUACAUAUAUAGGUGUGUAUCAUUUAAGAUGGAAAGCAUCUGCAUGCAUGCUAACAAUUUCCCUUCCCCUAGAUAUUAACCACUGCAUUGAAUCCUUUUCAUUCUGAGCUGGGAACCAGUGUUAAAAUUAAAACCCUCACACUAGAGUAUUUCAGGCGCUUUCAACCAGUGAUCAAAAAUGGCAGAGGAGAUAAAAAACUAUUCUCCUUAGUUCAGUUCUGUGUCUCUGUCCCUUGUCCAAGCUCAAAGGUUAUCAGUCCUGGCUGCACAUUAGAAUCAUCCAAGGUGCUCCCUCCUAGAACAAUGAAGUUAGAAUGUCUGGUGUGUGGCCCAGUCAUCAGCAUUGUGAAGUCAUCCCCUGUGAUUCUGGCCUGUGGGGGGGGGGGGGGCUGGGGGGAACUGAUUCAUCUGUGCGAUGGGAAAUGAAUGAAUGGCUCAUUAAUACAGAUUAAUUGCCUCAGAAAAAAAGUAUCCCCAAGGCCAGAAUGUGGUGCCAAUCAUGCAGGGAGAGACCUCAGAAGCAGAAAGUGGAGAUCACGUUGCUGGGCUUCUAGGUUUGUUUGGUCUCCGAAUGGAAACUCCUAUAAUUCCAGCAUCGUCUGCCUUAAAGGGUCUGAGGCCUUCCUCACCAACUAAGCCUCUGUGAUGGAGAAGAACAGAACCUGGAACUUGCAUCGAAAGCCUUGGGAUUGGGGCAAGUUGCUGGAUCGCUCGGUGCCUCAGCUUCUUGAUCUUUAAAAUGGAGCGAAUACUGCCCCUCCGGCCAGGGUCAAGGUUACCAUUGUUUGGUGAUAGGAGGUGAGGUCCAGAGAAGAGCCGCAACAGCUCGGGAGCUGGUGAGCAAACAGGUGCUGUGCCCAGAGUCGAGUGAACUGCCUUCCUGCUGACCUCGGAGUUUUGAAGAAAGUUCUACAGACAGCGCUGGCCUGUGCUACUCCCAAAGCACUCUUCCUCGUGGUCUUCCUGUUUCAGAAAUGGAAUCAGGCCAACUGCAAAGACUUCUUUGAGAAGCUGCUUUCAAGUAAAAGAUGAAGCUGUCAUAUCCUGCGAGAGCAGAGUUCUCUGGACUGUGA
Hyaena hyaena (striped hyena) is the source of this 1204-nucleotide long non-coding RNA. RefSeq lists it as uncharacterized. The transcript is spliced from 6 exons. The record is from RefSeq and is a predicted model, not a curated record. NCBI's taxonomy places the organism in Eukaryota, Metazoa, Chordata, Mammalia, Carnivora, Hyaenidae.